Molecule: ribosomal RNA, 510 nt
Filed under: uncultured bacterium
Lineage: Bacteria
Description: partial 16S ribosomal RNA
Rfam family: Bacterial small subunit ribosomal RNA
Source: RNAcentral
GACGAACGCUGGCGGCGUGCUUAACACAUGCAAGUCGAACGAAGAGCGAUGGAAGCUUGCUUCUAUCAAUCUUAGUGGCGAACGGGUGAGUAACGCGUAAUCAACCUGCCCUUCAGAGGGGGACAACAGUUGGAAACGACUGCUAAUACCGCAUACGAUCUAAUCUCGGCAUCGAGGAUAGAUGAAAGGUGGCCUCUACAUGUAAGCUAUCACUGAAGGAGGGGAUUGCGUCUGAUUAGCUAGUUGGAGGGGUAACGGCCCACCAAGGCGAUGAUCAGUAGCCGGUCUGAGAGGAUGAACGGCCACAUUGGGACUGAGACACGGCCCAGACUCCUACGGGAGGCAGCAGUGGGGAAUCUUCCGCAAUGGACGAAAGUCUGACGGAGCAACGCCGCGGGAGCGAUGACGGCCUUCGGGUUGUAAAGCUCUGUUAAUCGGGACGAAAGGCCUUCUUGCGAAUAGUGAGAAGGAUUGACGGUACCGGAAUAGAAAGCCACGGCUAACUACGUG